RNAcentral lists this ribosomal RNA (107 nucleotides) under uncultured bacterium. Its description in RNAcentral is "partial 16S ribosomal RNA". It matches the Rfam family "Bacterial small subunit ribosomal RNA", at positions 339 to 445 of the family's 1533-position model. The record is from RNAcentral.
CUACGGGAGGCAGCAGUGGGGAAUUUUGGGCAAUGGGGGAAACCCUGACGCAGCGACGCCGCGUGGAGGAUGACGGGCUUCGGGUUGUAAACUCCUGUCAGGUGGGA